Molecule: long non-coding RNA, 90 nt
Organism: Populus euphratica (Euphrates poplar)
Lineage: Eukaryota; Viridiplantae; Streptophyta; Magnoliopsida; Malpighiales; Salicaceae
Exons: 3
Source: RefSeq, a predicted model, not a curated record
CGUCCUCUGAUCUGGUGACUGUUGUCUAUGGGCGCUGAAAUCGCGGUGGAGAUGGGCUUGCUGGAGGUGUUGCUGAAACCUUUGCUGGUA